CGGGCGGUAGCUCAGCUUGGUAGAGCUUCCGGCUGUAGACCGGAUUGUCGCAGGUUCAAAGCCUGCCCGCCCGACCA
This 77-nucleotide transfer RNA is filed under the name Candidatus Bathyarchaeota archaeon. RNAcentral describes it as "tRNA-Tyr". It matches the Rfam family "tRNA". Rfam says of the family: Transfer RNA (tRNA) molecules are approximately 80 nucleotides in length. Their secondary structure includes four short double-helical elements and three loops (D, anti-codon, and T loops). The record is from RNAcentral. Lineage: Archaea; Thermoproteati; Candidatus Bathyarchaeota.